UGGGGAUCUUACUACCGCACGCCUAAAAGUUUGAGCUUUAGAUGAUAAGCUCCCUGUUUGUGAGUGUAUCAAAUAUUUUUUGGUUUUCCCAUUAUUCCACUUAUAUUUCCAAUAUUGCACUAUUGGAGUCUUGUUUUUGUCAUAUUCAUAUGCUGCACUGAAAAAACACUGAAGUCACCAUGACUACAUCCAUAUCCAUUAAGUCAGGAUUAUAACACUAUACACUGUAAG
Non-coding RNA from Pelobates cultripes (western spadefoot toad), 231 nucleotides. The record is from the annotation of a GenBank genome assembly. Lineage: Eukaryota; Metazoa; Chordata; Amphibia; Anura; Pelobatidae.